This 468-nucleotide ribosomal RNA is filed under the name uncultured bacterium. RNAcentral describes it as "partial 16S ribosomal RNA". It matches the Rfam family "Bacterial small subunit ribosomal RNA", at positions 28 to 507 of the family's 1533-position model. The record is from RNAcentral.
GACGAACGCUGGCGGCGUGCUUAACACAUGCAAGUCGAACGGAAAGGCCCUGCUUUUGUGGGGUGCUCGAGUGGCGAACGGGUGAGUAACACGUGUGUAACCUGCCCUUGACUUUGGGAUAACUUCAGGAAACUGGGGUUACUAACGGAUAGGAGCUCCUGCUGCAUGGUGGGGGUUGGAAAGUUUCGGCGGUUGGGGUUGGAUUCGCGGGUUAUCAGUUUGUUGGUGGGGUAGUGGCUUACCCAGGCAUUGAUGGGUCGCCGGCCUGACAGGGGGACCGGCCUCAGUGGGACUGAGGUACGGCCCAGAGUCCGACGUGAGGCAGCAGUGGGGAAUAUUGCACAAUGGGCGGGAGUCUGAUGCAGCAACGCCGCGGGCGGGAUGACGGCCUUCGGGUUAUAAACCGCUUUCGCCUGUGACGAAGCGUGAGUGACGGUAAUGGGUAAAGAAGCACCGGCUAACUACGUG